UAAAAUUAUGCUAAAAUUUAUCUCAUAUGCUACCUAUGUUGUUUGGUUUUGCUUAUUCUAGCAAUGUUUAUGUAUAUGUCUGAUCUCUUCAAAAAGGGAAUGAGAAAAUUUGAUGUGCAUGCUUUGAACCCAACUAUCUCCUGGUACAAUGAAAUUUGUUACCUAGGUUUCCUGGGAAUACACCACCAGGAACAGAUGAAGAUAAUGUGGUUGUGUAUUAUGUGAUAAUGAUUAUUCUGACAAAAGUAUUCACCCCACAGUAUGUUUUAACAUCUGUUGUUUAUUUUGGCAGGACUCUGCAUUUAUACUUUUAAGACAUUUAAGAGGGUGAACAUAUUUCUCAUUAAUGACCAUCGAAAUGGAAAAAUUGACAAGAGUCACAAGGGAUUAUAAUACCAGAGAUAUGACAAGGAACAUGAACCCAGGUGUUUCAGCUAGUAGGAUACUACAAGAAAAAAAGACUGGAAAAGGAAUGCUUUGCUGGAGAAACUCAUACAUUUGCUGUUCCAAGAGCAUCAAUGGAGUUUAUGAUCUGAAUAUGCUGUACAUGUAGAAAAUAAGUAAGUAUGUAAUCCCAUCACUUCAUAGAUGUGAUGAUAACUUAAAGAAUAUAUGAAACAGGAGAAAUCUUUACAGGUCUGCUGUAAUACAUUCAAUACAUUACAGAAGAGGCCAAAUUGAACAAAGAAGAGAAAGGCUGGGGAUCAAAUAGACAUCUGUUUUAGGUUUUUAUGAAAUAUUUGGAGACAGAUAGAAUUAUCUGCAAGAUUUUCUCCCUGCCUUUCCAGGUAGAGUUGCUGCCUUCAUACUUCCAGCAGCACUACAGCACUUCCUCUCUUUCACUUUAUAGGGGGUCAGGCUGUAGUCUUCACUAAAUUGUUCAUACUGAAGUUCUUCAUUGCCCAUACCUUAAUUGAAUCCUUUGCUUUGUGUCCCUUCUGGGUUCUUG
Molecule: long non-coding RNA, 949 nt
Filed under: Coturnix japonica (Japanese quail)
Lineage: Eukaryota; Metazoa; Chordata; Aves; Galliformes; Phasianidae
Description: lncRNA (ENSCJPG00005013438.1)
Source: RNAcentral